GAUGAAGAACGUAGCGAAAUGCGAUACUUGGUGUGAAUUGCAGAAUCCCGUGAACCAUCGAGUCUUUGAACGCAAGUUGCGCCCGAAGCCAUUAGGCCGAGGGCACGCCUGCCUGGGCGUCACACGUCGUUGCCCCCCCAUCUACUCCUUCGGGAUUGCGGGGGGCGGAUGAUGGCCUCCCGUGCGCCUCGUCGCGCGGUUGGCAUAAAUGCCAAGUCCUCGGCGACGCACGCCACGACAAUCGGUGGUUGCGAAACCUCGGUUGCCCGUCGUGUGCGGCCGUCGCGCAUCGAGGGCUCGAAAAAAUUGCCGGGCUCCGGCUCGGCUUUCAACGCGACCCCAGGUCAGGCGGGGUUACCCGCUGAAUUUAAGCAUAUCAAUAAGCGGAGGA
RNAcentral lists this unclassified non-coding RNA (391 nucleotides) under soil metagenome. RNAcentral describes it as "partial contains 5.8S ribosomal RNA, internal transcribed spacer 2, and large subunit ribosomal RNA". The stretch from base 1 to 122 matches the Rfam family "5.8S ribosomal RNA", at positions 35 to 154 of the family's 154-position model. The record is from RNAcentral.